This 492-nucleotide ribosomal RNA is filed under the name uncultured bacterium. RNAcentral describes it as "partial 16S ribosomal RNA". It matches the Rfam family "Bacterial small subunit ribosomal RNA", at positions 30 to 507 of the family's 1533-position model. The record is from RNAcentral.
AUUGAACGCUGGCGGCAUGCUUUACACAUGCAAGUCGAACGGUAACAGGCUUUCGGGUGCUGCCUAGUGGUGAACGGGGGCGUAAUGCAGCGGAACGUACCCAGAGUUGGUGUUUAACGCAGCGAAAGGUGUGCUAAUACCCCAUGUGAUCUGAUGCUGACAGCGGGUGACCGCGCAGCAAUUUUUGGCCUUGCGCGUUUGGAUGGGCCGAUGUCGGAUUAGCUAGUUGGUGGGGUAAAGGCCUACCAAGGCGACGAUCCGUAGCUGGUCUGAGAGGACGACCAGCCACACUGGGACUGAGACACGGCCCAGACUCCUACGGGAGGCAGCAGUGGGGAAUUUUGGACAAUGGGCGCAAGCCUGAUCCAGCAAUACCGCGUGCGGGAAGAAGGCCUUCGGGUUGUAAACCGCUUUUGGCAGGAAAGAAACGGUGUCCGCUAAUACCGGGCGCUAAUGACGGUACCUGAAGAAUAAGCACCGGCUAACUACGUG